UACGUAGGGCGCAAGCGUUGUCCGGAAUUAUUGGGCGUAAAGAGCUCGUAGGCGGUUUGUCGCGUCUGCUGUGAAAUCCCGAGGCUCAACCUCGGGCCUGCAGUGGGUACGGGCAGACUGGAGUGCGGUAGGGGAGAAUGGAACUCCUGGUGUAGCGGUGGAAUGCGCAGAUAUCAGGAAGAACACCGAUGGCGAAGGCAGUUCUCUGGGCCGUAACUGACGCUGAGGAGCGAAAGCGUGGGGAGCGAACAGG
This 253-nucleotide ribosomal RNA is filed under the name uncultured bacterium. RNAcentral describes it as "partial 16S ribosomal RNA". It matches the Rfam family "Bacterial small subunit ribosomal RNA", at positions 524 to 776 of the family's 1533-position model. The record is from RNAcentral.